ACGGGUCGCUCUCACCUGGAG
Molecule: microRNA, 21 nt
Filed under: Glycine max (soybean)
Lineage: Eukaryota; Viridiplantae; Streptophyta; Magnoliopsida; Fabales; Fabaceae
Description: gma-miR4416c-3p
Source: miRBase by way of RNAcentral